This 277-nucleotide unclassified non-coding RNA is filed under the name Glomeraceae sp. RNAcentral describes it as "partial contains 5.8S ribosomal RNA and internal transcribed spacer 2". The stretch from base 1 to 71 matches the Rfam family "5.8S ribosomal RNA", at positions 84 to 154 of the family's 154-position model. The record is from RNAcentral. Lineage: Eukaryota; Fungi; Glomeromycota; Glomeromycetes; Glomerales; Glomeraceae.
GUGAAUCAUCGAAUUUUUGAACGCAAAUUGCGCUUCCUGGCAUCCCAGGAAGUAUGCCUGUUUGAGGGUCAUUAUUAAUAAAAAAUCGGGUUAGGUACAAAUUGUGACGGUUCCGGAGUUUGGGCUAUCUUAACAUUUUUGGUUAAGAGGCUUAAAAUUGACCUUUUUUGCGCGUUUUUAAACGUACAUAAAGCUUUUUUAUUAGUCUAGUCUUAAUGCCAAAAUCUUAUUAUAUGCAAUCACGUCGUGUGGCUUCGUUGCCAUAAAAUUUUCAUUA